UACGAAGGGGGCUAGCGUUGUUCGGAAUUACUGGGCGUAAAGGGCGCGUAGGCGGUACUUCAAGUCAGGCGUGAAAGCCCCGGGCUUAACCUGGGAAUGGCAUUUGGGACUGCAAGGCUUGAGUGCGGCAGAGGAGACUGGAAUUCCUGGUGUAGCAGUGAAAUGCGUAGAUAUCAGGAGGAAUACCGAUGGCGAAGGCAGGUCUCUGGGCUGACACUGACGCUCAUGCACGAAAGCGUGGGGAGCAAACAGG
RNAcentral lists this ribosomal RNA (253 nucleotides) under uncultured bacterium. Its description in RNAcentral is "partial 16S ribosomal RNA". It matches the Rfam family "Bacterial small subunit ribosomal RNA", at positions 524 to 776 of the family's 1533-position model. The record is from RNAcentral.